This is a long non-coding RNA of Gasterosteus aculeatus aculeatus (three-spined stickleback), 927 nucleotides long. Lineage: Eukaryota; Metazoa; Chordata; Actinopteri; Perciformes; Gasterosteidae. The record is from Ensembl.
CUCACCAGCACGAGAGUCGCCGUUUUAACAGCAAGCGCGACCACGAGCAUCCGGGAGAUUCAGCUAGCUAGUUAGCUACGUGCUAACGCCGUGUUUAGCUUCCCAUGCUCGCUUUUUAAAUUAACGGGGACAUAAUCCAGCACGGACAGAUACGUGAGUUUUUCACAGGAACUUAAAGGAAGGAAACCUCUCAUAUUAAAGAGUGUCUUAUUAGAGAAGGAAUGAGCGGCCAGUCUGUGUGAAACGGGUCUUUCUCAGGAAAAGUGGGAGCGGCGAGCCGAAUACCGGCACAGAAACCCCCGACCCCCCCGCCCCACCCCUGGUCACACGCCAUGUCUUCAUUAGCGGCCGCUUAAAUGCGCGAGCACGUCUUUUCUCUGUUGCUCUGCUCUGGUUUUGUCUUUAUUGGUUGAAUUUGGGAGGCAGGUUGCCUCUCGCUAAGCUGCGAUAAGUAUGCUAUCAACUCGUGGAACAAGAUGCGAUUGCUUUCAUUUGGAAAAGUAGCACUUAAGUCAUUUUCCCCCCCCGGGAAUUUAAACAUGAGCGGGGAGAAAGAGACUGAGACAGAUUGAAAGGGACUGAGAGAAAUUGGGCGAGGACAAUGUUUUUCUUGUCUGUUUUUCGAAGUUUGAGGAGUCGGGGGAAUUGUCAGUAAUGAGAAAUACAACAGCUGAGUGAUGAUGAUUCGUUUUGGUUUUUCACCCGUGAGAAGAUCUGCGCCACAAUUAUUUAUUUAUUUAUUUUUUGUCAUAGAUGUGUCGUAGAUUCCCAAGAAUUUGAUCUCUCAAUAUCCUGAAAUUCAAAUAAGAAUCGGUUCCCUGUCGCAUUAUCUUCAACAGCAGCCCAGCGUGAGUAAGUCGGGCUCAGUAGAUGAGAAUCAGACAGUUGCCUGAAAUGCAAUUUGCGUGCUUGUGUUCACUGAAGGGG